RNAcentral lists this ribosomal RNA (497 nucleotides) under uncultured bacterium. Its description in RNAcentral is "partial 16S ribosomal RNA". It matches the Rfam family "Bacterial small subunit ribosomal RNA", at positions 28 to 507 of the family's 1533-position model. The record is from RNAcentral.
GACGAACGCUGGCGGCGUGCCUAAUACAUGCAAGUUGAGCGAUGAAGAUUGGUGCUUGCACCAAUUUGAAGAGCAGCUAACGGGUGAGUAACGCGUGGGGAAUCUUCCUUUGAGCGGGGGACAACAUUUGGAAACGAAUGCUAAUACCGCAUAACAACUUUAAACAUAAGUUUUAAGUUUGAAAGAUGCAAUUGCAUCACUCAAAGAUGAUCCCGCGUUGUAUUAGCUAGUUGGUGAGGUAAAGGCUCACCAAGGCGAUGAUACAUAGCCGACCUGAGAGGGUGAUCGGCCAAAUUGGGACUGAGACACGGCCCAAACUCCUACGGGAGGCAGCAGUAGGGAAUCUUCGGCAAUGGACGAAAGGCUGAACGAGCAACGCCGCGUGAGUGAAGAAGGUUUUCGGAUCGUAAAACUCUGUUGGUAGAGAAGAACGUUGGUGAGAGUGGAAAGCUCAUCAAGUGACGGUAACUACCCAGAAAGGGACGGCUAACUACGUG